Molecule: long non-coding RNA, 601 nt
Organism: Solanum tuberosum (potato)
Lineage: Eukaryota; Viridiplantae; Streptophyta; Magnoliopsida; Solanales; Solanaceae
Exons: 3
Source: RefSeq, a predicted model, not a curated record
UUUUAAGAGAUAAUUAGGGAUAACGAUCACAAGUUUUAGGAAAUAAGUGCAACUUCCAUUGUCAGAAUAAUUAGAUGUUAUAUAAUUCUAUAUUUCUUGGAUAGCGACCAGACAACUACACAGGGCAAUGCUUGAUGUAUGAGCUUCAGAUAUACAUUUGCAGGGUGUUUAUCCGACGAAUGUGGAUUUUGAAAGGCGAGUACGACAAGUCUGGUCCAUCCAUUGUCCACAAGAAGUGCUUCUAAGUGAACUCAGGUCUUCUGUUAUAGGCAAGUCUUCGAGAUGGGGCUUUACUGCUGAUACUAUUUCAUGUUUCCAGUGCAAGCCUCUUUUGUAAGUAGACAAACUCGAUUUGUAAAUAUGUUUGCGACUCAACUAGUGGUUAGAGUAUUGAUUUUGUAAGAUUUGUGUCCAGAAAAUUAAAUUAGAAAGAUAACUCACGAUGAUUGAAUAAGCUUGAAGAAGUGGAUUUGAAUUUCAAAUCGUGUCUUCUUUUUUAUGUGUGUAUGUGUGUGAGAAAUUUGAAGUGUUGUUUAGAUUUGUUGGAAUAGUCUAAAGAGAUUGUCUCUAUAAAAUUUGAAGUCAUUUGAUGGAGAUCUGA